GACGAACGCUGGCGGCGUGCUUAACACAUGCAAGUCGAACGGAAAGGCCCUGCUUUUGUGGGGUGCUCGAGUGGCGAACGGGUGAGUAACACGUGAGUAACCUGCCCUUGACUUUGGGAUAACUUCAGGAAACUGGGGCUAAUACCGGAUAGGAGCUCCUGCUGCAUGGUGGGGGUUGGAAAGUUUUGGCGGUUGGGGAUGGACUCGCGGCUUAUCAGCUUGUUGGUGGGGUAGUGGCUUACCAAGGCUUUGACGGGUAGCCGGCCUGAGAGGGUGACCGGCCACAUUGGGACUGAGAUACGGCCCAGACUCCUACGGGAGGCAGCAGUGGGGAAUAUUGCACAAUGGGCGGAAGCCUGAUGCAGCAACGCCGCGUGCGGGAUGACGGCUUUCGGGUUGUAAACCGCUUUCGCCUGUGACGAAGCGUGAGUGACGGUAAUGGGUAAAGAAGCACCGGCUAACUACGUG
RNAcentral lists this ribosomal RNA (468 nucleotides) under uncultured bacterium. RNAcentral's name for it is "partial 16S ribosomal RNA". It matches the Rfam family "Bacterial small subunit ribosomal RNA", at positions 28 to 507 of the family's 1533-position model. The record is from RNAcentral.